CCUACGGGUGGCAGCAGUGGGGAAUAUUGCUCAAUGGGGGAAACCCUGAAGCAGCGACGCCGCGUGAGUGAAGACUUCAUUCGUUUUGUAAAGCUCUUUCUGCAGGGAAGAAAAUGACGGUACCUGAGUAAGAAGCCCCGGCUAACUACGUGCCAGCAGCCGCGGUAAUACGUAGGGGGCAAGCGUUAUACGGAUUUACUGGGUGUAAAGGGUGCGUAGUCGGGAGUGGAAGUUCGGCGGGAAAUGCGGGGGCUCAACCCCAGAACUGCAGUGGAAACGGUUCGUCUGGAGUGGAGGAGAGGUAAGGGGAAGUCGUGGUGUAGCGGUGAAAUGCGUAGAUAUGAGGAGGAACUCCGAUUGCGAAGGCAGCAUACCGGACUGUAACUGACGUUGAGGCUCGAAAGCGUGGGGAGCAAACAGGAUUAGAUACCCGUGUAGUC
This 440-nucleotide ribosomal RNA is filed under the name uncultured bacterium. Its description in RNAcentral is "partial 16S ribosomal RNA". It matches the Rfam family "Bacterial small subunit ribosomal RNA", at positions 338 to 795 of the family's 1533-position model. The record is from RNAcentral.